RNAcentral lists this ribosomal RNA (596 nucleotides) under uncultured bacterium. RNAcentral's name for it is "bacterial SSU rRNA". It matches the Rfam family "Bacterial small subunit ribosomal RNA", at positions 112 to 704 of the family's 1533-position model. The record is from RNAcentral.
AAUGCCUAGGAAUCUGCCUGGUAGUGGGGGAUAACGUUCGGAAACGGACGCUAAUACCGCAUACGUCCUACGGGAGAAAGCAGGGGACCUUCGGGCCUUGCGCUAUCAGAUGAGCCUAGGUCGGAUUAGCUAGUUGGUGAGGUAAUGGCUCACCAAGGCGACGAUCCGUAACUGGUCUGAGAGGAUGAUCAGUCACACUGGAACUGAGACACGGUCCAGACUCCUACGGGAGGCAGCAGUGGGGAAUAUUGGACAAUGGGCGAAAGCCUGAUCCAGCCAUGCCGCGUGUGUGAAGAAGGUCUUCGGAUAGUAAAGCACUUUAAGUUGGGAGGAAGGGUUGUAGAUUAAUACUCUGCAAUUUUGACGUUACCGACAGAAUAAGCACCGGCUAACUCUGUGCCAGCAGCCGCGGUAAUACAGAGGGUGCAAGCGUUAAUCGGAAUUACUGGGCGUAAAGCGCGCGUAGGUGGUUUGUUAAGUUGGAUGUGAAAUCCCCGGGCUCAACCUGGGAACUGCAUUCAAAACUGACUGACUAGAGUAUGGUAGAGGGUGGUGGAAUUUCCUGUGUAGCGGUGAAAUGCGUAGAUAUAGGAAGG